CCUAUAAUUUAGUCACAUGAAACAGUUUAACCUCAGACAAGUCAAACGAGAGCACGAAGAAGCAGCAAAGAGCGAGCCGGGGUCAGCAGGCGAGAGGAACAGUCACCUGGCCCGGACAGGGCCCAGCGACCCAGGCCCUUUAUUCCCGUCCCUCCGGGCCGUGCGCGGCCCCCACCCCGGCCCGGGGCUCCCACGCCGCCCCCCUCGGCCCGCCCCACGCCCGUGCCCAGGACUGGGGGUCACAACAGCGGGCAGACGCCGCGCGCGGGCAAGUUGGAGACUUACCUCCCCCGGAUGCGCUAGACCAUCAAUGGAGCCUUCUUCCGCAGGCCAAGAAAGUAACCCGUGGUGGCCUUUGAAAGUCCCCCCACUGAACUGGAAUGGAGCUGUGGGUGAUUCCUGGGGGCGUGUUGCAAAAUGCAGGAGGCAGAUGUCACGUAUGCAAACACAUGCAAAAGCGAAACAGCCUCCCCCCGCCCCGCAAAAGGAUCAAAACCAGAAACAUUUUUCCUUUGUCUGGACAUGACUAAUUGUAGACAGCAAUUAAGGUGCGCCAUUCAACUCCAGAUUGGAUGAAUUUCCUCUCCACCAGCGUAGAAGUGGGUCUAUUUACCAACACACUCAGAGCUUGGUGUCAGGGAAGCCCUGCUCUGUUGCGCCCUGUGGCAUCCAGCGAAGCCCGCUCUUCUCUGAGUCCCACGGUACCCAGCCCGUGCCCCAGCGUGCGGUCCCAGGGCACGAACAUGCCUUUCGGAUGAGAUGGAAACCCGAAUGUGACUUCGGACCACGUGUGGUGAUCGAGAAGUCUCCUGGGGCUUUGUGAAAGAAUGGAGGGGAGGGGAGGCUGAGUUCCAUUGUCUUGGCCCAAUUCCAAGUUUGAUCAUUAGGCGUCCUCCUCCUUUGUCUGCCAGCCGGCUCCCUGCGACGCGCUGUUCCACACUUCCUGUGAUAAACAGCUGUCCACUGUUAACCGAGCCAGCCCAGGAGCCAGCAAAUUCCACCCUGGGGAAAGCCGAAUUUCAAGAUAAACAUUUCCUCUGCAUCUCUUGGUAAAUUACUUAGGUUUACCCUGAAGGAAAGGUGUAGUUUUCUAGGGAGAAUAAGGCCAUAAUAACGGGGAGUGGAAAACUAUCCACAAGCCCUAUUUUGUCUAAAUGGUGAACAAAGAAGGCUAGCAUGGAUCACAAAGGGGCCCUGGGAAGGAGGAGUCCAAAGAAAAUAUAUUUUAGAUUCUAACAUGUUAUUUGGGAGACUCAGAAUUUAAUCCUAUAACAUUGACGUGGCAGGUCCUAUUUGCUACCAAAAUUCAUAUUUUUUCUACCCAAGUCAUAUACGGAAGAAACAGGCGGGUAACUCCUAACCCAGAAGAAACAGCGACAUUCGCCCUUGUCUCCAGCUUUGGAGAUGGACGUGUCUGGGGCAAUCACUUUAAUGCCUCUCUUCCUUUCAUUUGACACUUUCGAGCAUCUUAAUUUCAAAAUAGCCACAUUCCUGGUCCUCUCAAUCCCAAAUGUCUCCUUCUCACACUCCAACUUCCAGAAUAAAUUUUUCUAUGUUUGUUUUUUCUUUUUUAAAUCUUACAAGGUUUUGUUUUUUGUGUGUGUGUGUGUGUUUUUUUUUUUUUUUUUUUUUUUUUUUUUUUGCUUUUUAGGGCUGCAGGUGCAGAAUAUGGAAGCUCCCAGGCUAGGGGUUGAAUCAGAGCUACGGCUGCCGGCCUACACCACAGCCACAGCAAGGGGGGAUCCGAGCUGUGUCUGUCAACUACACCACAGCUCAUGGCAACGCUGGAUUGCUGACCCACUGAGCAAGCCCAGGGAUCGAACCUGCGUGCUCAUGGAUACCAGUCAGAUUCCUUUCUGCUGUACCACGACCCAAACUCCCUAAAACUGCUCAAAAAAAUAAAGUCUAUUAAUUUUUUAAGAGCAUUUUAAUUCUGUUCUUCUUGUUGCCAAGCGUGGGGACUCACUCAGCAUCUCAAAUAACAGGAGAUUUAUGUGCAGAUGUUCCCACGGAAGCCCAGGCAAAGCUAAACCCAUCGGGGAAAGAAGGGGCUAGAAGCAGGGCCACCGGAAGGUCAGGAUCCCCAGCUCUUUCCACCAUGUGCAUCCCUGGCCCCCUGUUCUCAUCUUUCCCAUCAGGUGACCUCCUCACCCUCUACCCUUCAGCUUCUCUUCACUUCAAAGUGUCUGCUUUCUCGUAAGUUCAGCUCCCUCCUGAUUGCCGCUUUCAUGGGGUCUCUCAUGGCUCCGCUGGUUUUACUGUGGCUUGUGACCUAGCUACAGCUACUUCUGCUGGCUGCCGCGUGACUUUCGUAUUUCCUACUUAACAUUCCUGAGAGGGAGGAAACCCAACUGGCCCAGUUCAUCCUCUAAGACCCAGCCCUGGCCUGGCCCCCAGCCCACUGCAGGGUACAAGGAGUGGAGGGGUGGGGGGACAGGGGAAAGAAGGAGGUCCCACUGUGGAGACCCCAGGAGGCAGAGCAGCUCCCAUUGCAAGGGCCCGAGGGUGGGGGCUUUCCUGAUGGCUCCACACCCAGAGCAUGCUCUCUGAAGGGCUUGUCCCCCAAAAAGGAUGAAAGUAAAAGUGAGUCUUAGCAACCCUGCAGUUCCACACGUAUUGUUGUGGCUGUUGCUUUGGCUGCACCCGCUGUAUGUGGAAGUUCCUGGACCAGGGAUCAAAGCCAAGCCACAGCAACAACCUGAGCCAGAGCAGGGACAAGGCUGAAUUCUUACCCACUGAGCCACAAGGGAACUCCUUUUUUUUUUUUUUUUUUUUUUUUUUUUUAAUGGCCUUAUCGGCAGCAUAUGGAAGUUCCUGGGCAGGGACAGAGUCCAAGCCACAGCUGCAACCUAUUGCACAGCAACCCCAAAUCCUUUAGCUCACUGUGCUGGGCAGGGGAUCCAACCUGCACCUUUGCAGCAACCUGAGCCACUGCAGCCAGAUUUUUAACCCACAGCAUUAAAGCAAGAACUCCCCUAUUUUUUUUUUUUUUGGUCUUUUGUCUUUUUAGGGCCACACCCUUGGCAUAUGAAAUUUCCCAGGCUAGGGGUCUGAUGGGAGCUGUAGCCCCCGGCCUACACUACAGCCACGCAGGAUCCAAGCCACAUCUGUGACCCACACCACAGCUCACAGCAACACUGGAUCCUUAACCCACUGAGCGAGGCCAAGGAUUGAACCUGCAUCCUCAUGGAUGCUAGUUGGAUUCGUUUCUGCUGAGCCACGACAGGAACUCCUCGUUUGGCCUUUCCAAUGGAGAAAACCCCAGAGAAGCAGACGGCAGGUGACAGAAUGCUCAUGUUCUCCCGAAUGACCCCUAGAAUACGUCCUCCCCCAAAGACCCUCCAACCAGGCUCUGGAGGAGCCCCGUUACUUCGAAGUAGCAGCAGAUUCUUCCUUCGUGCAAGGAGAAGAAAGGGGGGGGGGGGACAAAGAUGGAUCUUCUCUUUACACCACAGCACCGUCUGCCCCUCUCUGACCAGUGCUAUGUGAUUGAUGCUUAUCCCAGGGUGAAAGAAAG
This 3517-nucleotide long non-coding RNA is filed under the name Sus scrofa (pig). RNAcentral describes it as "lncRNA (ENSSSCG00060051462.1)". Lineage: Eukaryota; Metazoa; Chordata; Mammalia; Artiodactyla; Suidae. The record is from RNAcentral.